AGUGAACGCUGGCGGCGUGCUUAACACAUGCAAGUCGAACGGUAACAGGAACUAGCUUGCUAGUUUGCUGACGAGUGGCGCACGGGUGAGUAAUAUAUAGUUAAUGUACCCCAAAGACUGGGAUAGCCACUGGAAACGGUGAUUAAUACUAGAUACACCUCUUUAAUAUAAGUUAGAGAGGGAAAUGUUUUUUCGCUUUGGGAUCAGACUAUAUCCUAUCAGUUAGUUGGUGAGGUAAUGGCUCACCAAGGCAAUGACGGGUAGCGGUUCUGAGAGGAUGAUCCGCCACACUGGUACUGAGACACGGACCAGACUCCUACGGGAGGCAGCAGUGAGGAAUAUCGCACAAUGGGGGGGACCCUGAUGCAGCAACGCCGCGUGGAGGAUGACGCAUUUCGGUGUGUAAACUCCUUUUAUAUGUCAAGAAAAUGACGGUAGCAUAUGAAUAAGCACCGGCUAACUCCGUGCCAGCAGCCGCGGU
Molecule: ribosomal RNA, 481 nt
Filed under: uncultured bacterium
Lineage: Bacteria
Description: bacterial SSU rRNA
Rfam family: Bacterial small subunit ribosomal RNA
Source: RNAcentral